UGGCUUUGUCUUAGGUAGAGAAGGUGU
This 27-nucleotide non-coding RNA is filed under the name Rattus norvegicus (Norway rat). Lineage: Eukaryota; Metazoa; Chordata; Mammalia; Rodentia; Muridae. The record is from RNAcentral.